Molecule: long non-coding RNA, 349 nt
Filed under: Olea europaea subsp. europaea
Lineage: Eukaryota; Viridiplantae; Streptophyta; Magnoliopsida; Lamiales; Oleaceae
Source: RNAcentral
CGGCAAUGGUGCUUUUGACGGUUGGAAGGCUUCUCCGAGUCUUUAAGAGAAACCGAGCAAUGGCGAUUGCACUGCGUAGAUUCAUCUCUGCCUCUCUUUCCCUCAACCGUAAUUUCCACAACUUCGCUAUCAUAUACUACCUCCAACUUCACUGCCACCAAUGCUACUGAGUAUUUCUAGAGCGAGGAUGAGGAUGUUGUGCUCUAACUCGGGUAAAGCCCACCAAUUUCAGGAUUGAGAUAAUGGUUUCGAAGAAAUGUGGGAAAGGGGCUGAAUCUUGGGAGUUUAGGUGGUGGAUUGUAUGAAUUAUGUGCCAUCUAGCAUGGAUAGCGUGUCACUAGAAUUCAAU